GGGCGGUUAGCUCAGUUGGUAGAGCGCGUACUUGACGUGUAUGAGGCCAUAGGUUCGAGUCCUAUACCGCCCACCA
RNAcentral lists this transfer RNA (76 nucleotides) under Candidatus Sungbacteria bacterium RIFCSPLOWO2_12_FULL_41_11. RNAcentral's name for it is "tRNA-Val". It matches the Rfam family "tRNA". Rfam says of the family: Transfer RNA (tRNA) molecules are approximately 80 nucleotides in length. Their secondary structure includes four short double-helical elements and three loops (D, anti-codon, and T loops). Lineage: Bacteria; Candidatus Sungiibacteriota. The record is from RNAcentral.